UCACUCAUGUAAAAAGUAAGUCUUAAAACAUAGUCUUUCUUAACAUAUGGGAGCUAUUUUCACUGAUAGUUUGUAUCUUGUACACGUUUAUGUCAUUCUUUAACUCAGUCAUGAUUCUUUAAAUUUGCUAUCUGUUAUGACGAUGUACGUCAUUACUUCAUUUUUUAUCUGCACAUAUCUCUCCUUCCUAAUUGUAUCAUACUUAAUUGAAGCGCAGCAUUUGAGUACAGAACCGAAUCCAGAUGAUCCUCUGGUUUGACAUUAUGCGGAUAUCGUAUGUUGUCUGUGACAUUUUGAUGGGAUUUCCUUUGACCUUACUGAUGUGCUGAGUCAAAUAUAUGUAACAAAAAUGCACAACUAAAAUGUUGUCUUGCAGAUUGUUGGUUUGGAUGAAGAUAACUUCAUUUUAUUUCAUGAAAAAAUAAGGUAACAAUGCACAUUAGUUUAUACCACUUAAACUGAAGGGUAACUACGUAAUAGAUGUAAUGACGUACCUGCAUGAUGGCUAAUACUUUCUUUUGGGAACACCUCUUGAUUGUGCAUAUGAAUUUGAUUGCUACUGGCUGUUUAGCAUUAUGUUUAUGUUAUCUGCAAUUUGUUUCGUAAUUCGUUAUGCAAAUUUAGAACUCUUUCUGCAUUGGUUAUACAAGGGUGGACGAGUUCGCAUGGUAUGGAAAUUUAAAUUCCUACAACACUGAUACACAGACAGCCAUAUAUCCUCUUCACCAAACGCUUAACCAUAAAACAUUUCUUAUUCUUGAGCUCUCCUUAACUCUGCAUUGUUUUCAGACUUUGCUCUUGCAUUCUUCAUCCAUUACGAAGGGUGGAAUGGGGAAGUCAACAAAUUCCUUACAAAUAUUUGAUCAUAUGUAUCUUCUCUUAGAAUCCUCUUACUUCUGGUUAACAAAUAUCUGUUAUAUUUUUCACACCAAUGCGUUUACUAAUGUCGUAAUUUAACUAACAUGUGUUGUUUUAUUUCAUUUUGGUUGCCGGGUGUUUGUGGUUGCUUAUCCAACUUCCUUAUUGCGAGUACUGUUUGUUCCAGUAGUUGUGAGAUCCUGAUUGAUUGCUGGAUCGUUGUGAGGGUAGUGUGAAGGUUCAUUAACUAAUUGCCUUAUGUGUCUCUCUGGCUUGCAGGUUAUCUGGGUUUUUUACUAGCAAACAUAUGGUGGGUUCUCUUCUGUUGUGGAGUUUAAGUUCUUAGUUAUGGUUGUAGUGGUUUAUGACUGUCUCUUUAUUUGAAGGCUGAAUUUUUUUCAAUAUUUUUUGUUUACCUGUAUGUGUGAGGUGGCGAGUCUCAUUUAUUUUGUUAAAAAUGUUGGCGAGUCAUUUCAGAUUGUUGGUUUGUAACUCCGCUGUGAAUAUUUCGUGUUUAUUAAUACGUGGUUUUGUAUUGAACGUCUUAUUUUCCUCUAUUUUCUUGAAAUUGUUAGUUCUCUAUUAAGUAGCCAAUAAAUUGAAGGAAAAGUAGAGAAGACAAACUAAAAUUUUUAUCAUCCAUAUUCAUUAUUUUCAUUUUUUGUUACAGAUUACGUGAGCUUCGUUGUUUCUUUUGUUUUUAUUUUCCUCCUCUUUUAUGAUAUUGCUUUGGAAGUCAUUUGAUUGCAAUAUCCGUGACAUUCCGUCAUGUGUUUUGGUUUUUUGGGAUUUUGAUUAAUAUUGGAGCAUUGUUUUGUUUAUUUUCAUUUUUUGUUACAGAUUAUGUGAGCUUGGUUAUUUCUUUUGUUUUUAUUUUCCUCCCCUUUUAUUAUAUUGCUUUCGAAGUCAUUUGAUUGCAAUAUCUGUGACAAUCCGUUGUGUGUUUUGGUUUUUUGGGAUAUUGAUUAAUAUAGUAGUAUUGUUUUGUCUAGUGAUACUUGGUGGAAAGGACUACAAUCUUAAGACAUUUGACUAAUGCUGGUACAAUUAGAUGACUUAAAACUCUGAUUCUUUAUUAUAACACUUACAUGGGAUUUAACUUCAAGUUAUGAUUUCUGACCCUGAUUGGUACUGUCAUUUUUAUCAGUAGUGCUCCAUUCUCUUAUGAUUACAUAUUUUGCUAACUGAUCUUCAGCGUAAUAGUUUAUGUAUUUGCAUUGAUUUCUUGGAAAACAUUUGUUACAAAUACUAACUGUAAUUUUUCCCCAAACUCUUCUAAGUUUUCUUGCUCAGAAUUUAUUUUGUUGGUAAUUGCAUCUGAAGCCUUGUUGGCUCACAAAAUUUCAUACAGUUCUACAUGUUUAACUCUAAAGGUACAUUAUGUAAUUAAAAUUUUGUGCCACAGUAAAUCUGUAAUGUGGAUACUGAUUAUGAAUUUCUGAAUUAUGAAGCUGGUACUCACCAUUUACAACAGAUGAAACAUGCCAAAUGAAAGGAAAGUGUGUCCCAGCGCCUGACAAAUGGAGGGGUAUGACUUCAGAUCGUGAAAUCCUUGAGCCUUAUGCCAUGGAAAAUAUCAAUUAUGUGGGAGAUCAAAGCCAAGUAGAGAAGUCUGAGUUUCUGACGACCUUAUGGACUCUGAACUGGCUGGGUUCUGUGGUUCAUGCACCAAUUUUGUUUCUUCUGCACGAGGUGCAUUCGUAGCCGAUGCGGGUGAUUGCCGUAGUCUCAGCGAUUUUUCAGGUCAGUUGAUGCCCUCCUCUUUAUCGGACCUAGAGUUCGGCAAAGCUUAAGGAGCGAGAUAAUCAAUGCUUGGUGAAUUUCAUGGCUCUGAUCCUCUCUUCAUCUUUGAUUUCAUAUCAGUUUUGGGUUUAAUUUUUUCCUUAUUUUUUUGAGGUCAGCUUUCUUACUUGAUAUUUGUGUGUAUGCUUUAUUAAGGGAAUUUAUGGGAGUUUUCUUCUACCAAAGGUUUUUCUUUUCCAUCUGCUUCUUUCUUAGCUUUUAAUUCAGUUAUUUACUCUAGGUAAACUUCUGCUCUGCUAAUGGGUUGAACUUACCAUUGUCCAGGCUAACAAACUUGCUUGAUUUUGAAAUGCAGGUUGCUGGCCAGGGAAAUAUUGAGUGAAGAACUUUUGGGAGUUCAAGGUACAGGUUCAUUCGAUGAUCCUUAUGUCCUCCAAAUAAAACCAGCACAUAAGGAGCCACUGAAGGGUAAUCUCGGGGUUCCAUUCACAGCCCCUUCAGGAGCACAAAUCUGUUUCCCCUAAUGUGCAUCAAAUGAAUUGUUGUAGGCAGGUUGGUUAUUAUUUUCUUUUCCCAUUCAUUCUAUUGAUUAAGCUCUUCAUCUGUUUAUUCCACUUUGUUCUCAGUAGGGGUUUCUGAGAAGGAGAAUUAUUAUCUGCGAUUAUUUCUCUCGGUAUGGUACUUCGGAUCUGCGAUUUACUGGUUUGCUUCCGGUUGAUUGCUUGGUUUGCUUAUAUAUUUCAACAAUCCUAGAUUAAAUUUUCUGCUUAUUAUAUGGAAUAGGGAAUCUCCAACUAAGUGACUGUCUUAUGUGUCUUGCUCUGCUUAUGUGCUGGCAGUGCUGCGAAUUUUAUUGUUAGUAUGGUGUUGUUUUAGUGUGUCCAACUUCCUUUUGAUCCAGGCAUCUAACUUUGUUGAUGGUCAACUUCUCUCUGACUUGGUCUAUUAUUUGACCUUUUUUUAGGAAUUAUUUAUCAUUACAUGUUUGUUUUAACUGGCAUUUGUUCUACUCUUUUUCAUGUUUGCAGUCUUUGCUUCUUCAGUGCUUCCUUAACUUCUCCUUGUGUCGAAGGUGAAUGUUUUACACAUUUGUUCUUCCGCCGCAACGCGCGGGCUUACUACCUAGUAGAUCUAUAUGAUCCAUCAUUUCGAUAAUUGCCCUCCAUACCUUCAAAUCCUUAUCUCUUCAUACACUAUCGAUCUCUGACUAGAAAAGCAUUCAACACAAUCCUCCAUAAAAGAUCAUUUGACCAGACCGUUAGAGAAUAUUUACUCUAGAAAUAGAUCGUUAUGAUUGCAUUAUGUUUAAAUCAGGGUGUUGUAUAUUUGUAGAAUAUAGUAGUUCCCAACGUGAUGCAGAUUUUUCAAUAUUAACCCUCCAUACCCUGAAGUCUUCCUUUUCUCUUCAUAGACCAUCUAUCUCUGGCUAGAAAAAGAUUCAUCACAAUCCUCCAUAACAGACCAUUUGAACAGUCGACAGAACCACACACAAUUGGGAAUAAAUGAGAAAUAAUUUCAGUCCUUUUUAACUUCUUUGUUUUGGUGAAAAAUAAGAAUGUGCAUGGUCAUCUUAAACAACACCCUAUUUUUCAUAACUUGCUUUCUAAGUCUCUCACUUAAUUUGUGGUUGCUUUAGAUAAAUGAUCUGGAGGACUUGUGACUCUUUGGAAAUUCUUAUAUCUCUGUUUUCUAAUCAAUUAAGCUAUGGUUUUGAUGCCCUAAGAAUGUAGUUUUCAAUUCCGGUGAUAAGGACUUGGCGAUUUCACAUUUAAUAUUUGGUAGACACUGGAAUCAUGUGAGACAGUUUUGUUAUAAAUAUAAACUCACAAAGUAAAGGAGAAGGAGAAGAGUUGUUUCAAUUACAAGUCACCAUAGUUUCAACGAGAUUGUAGUCGGGCUCUUCAAAUUUCUCCAAGAAAUUCGUGGAAGAUGAUAGGUUUGGUUGCCUGAUAGAUAUGAGUUCCCAGCAGAGAGAGAUUGAGGUGUGUUUUUUCUUCUCAUCUUAGAUUUACUUUACCUAGUUCCUUAAAUAAUUCGGAAUGCUUUUGCAUGUUGUGUAUGCGUAAUGUAGUUUUAUGUCGGUUAUUGAUAUGUAUGUAUCUUGCUCUGCUUGCAUUGAAUUUUCACAUACACCCAACUUUAUUUUCACA
Long non-coding RNA from Tripterygium wilfordii, 4751 nucleotides. RefSeq lists it as uncharacterized. The record is from RefSeq and is a predicted model, not a curated record. The transcript has 7 exons. NCBI's taxonomy places the organism in Eukaryota, Viridiplantae, Streptophyta, Magnoliopsida, Celastrales, Celastraceae.